AACGUAGGAGGCAAGCGUUAUCCGAAUUUACUGGGCGUAAAGCGUGUGCCGGCGGUCGGGUAAGUUGGAUGUGAAAUCUCCUGGCUCAACUGGGAGAGGUCGUUCAAAACUACUCGGCUGGAGGGCGGUAGAGGGAGGUGGAAUUCCCGGUGUAGUGGUGAAAUGCGUAGAUAUCGGGAGGAACACCAGUGGCGAAGGCGAUCUUCUGGUCUGUUUCUGACACUCAUACGCGACAGCUAGGGUAGUAAAC
RNAcentral lists this ribosomal RNA (250 nucleotides) under uncultured bacterium. Its description in RNAcentral is "partial 16S ribosomal RNA". It matches the Rfam family "Bacterial small subunit ribosomal RNA", at positions 524 to 773 of the family's 1533-position model. The record is from RNAcentral.